CAUUAGAUGGCUGAAAGAAAGCAAUGGAAUUUUAAACCAUCCUAUAAUGGAGUAACGCACAUUUUUAAUG
RNAcentral lists this transfer RNA (70 nucleotides) under Eboraphyllus middletoni. RNAcentral describes it as "tRNA-Lys". The record is from RNAcentral. Lineage: Eukaryota; Metazoa; Arthropoda; Insecta; Coleoptera; Cerambycidae.